Molecule: ribosomal RNA, 475 nt
Filed under: uncultured organism
Description: partial 16S ribosomal RNA
Rfam family: Bacterial small subunit ribosomal RNA
Source: RNAcentral
CACUCCUACGGGAGGCAGCAGUGGGGAAUUUUGGACAAUGGGCGAAAGCCUGAUCCAGCAAUGCCGCGUGAGUGAAGAAGGCCUUCGGGUUGUAAAGCUCUUUUGUCAGGGAAGAAACGGUGAGAGCUAAUAUCUCUUGCUAAUGACGGUACCUGAAGAAUAAGCACCGGCUAACUACGUGCCAGCAGCCGCGGUAAUACGUAGGGUGCAAGCGUUAAUCGGAAUUACUGGGCGUAAAGCGUGCGCAGGCGGUUUUGUAAGUCUGAUGUGAAAUCCCCGGGCUCAACCUGGGAAUUGCAUUGGAGACUGCAAGGCUAGAAUCUGGCAGAGGGGGGUAGAAUUCCACGUGUAGCAGUGAAAUGCGUAGAUAUGUGGAGGAACACCGAUGGCGAAGGCAGCCCCCUGGGUCAAGAUUGACGCUCAUGCACGAAAGCGUGGGGAGCAAACAGGAUUAGAUACCCCGGUAGUCCCAUGA